Molecule: unclassified non-coding RNA, 425 nt
Filed under: fungal sp.
Lineage: Eukaryota; Fungi
Description: partial internal transcribed spacer region
Rfam family: Eukaryotic small subunit ribosomal RNA (bases 1-46)
Source: RNAcentral
AAGUCGUAACAAGGUAUCCGUAGGUGAACCUGCGGAUGGAUCAUUAACACAAACCUAAACACUGGUUCAUGGUCUCUCGAGACUAUGUUCCUUUUAAAACCAAACCUGCGAACCUCAUUUUUAAACCGAAAAAGUAAGACAAACGCGAAACACAUGCUGAUUUGCCUCUGGACUAAAGAUUGUGUCGGAGUCAGGUUCGUCCUGCUGGCCAAUCUUACAAGUCUACGCUACUUCAUUCAUGUGGGGUUAGUUUUGUCCCUUUUUUGUGUUUAGAACUUUUCUUUUUCAAUUAUUACUAUCAACACACCAAAAAGAACGCCUGGAUUUCCGGCGUUUUGAAUAUUCUGACUGAGAAAUGUGUUGUGACCCAGCACACUAAAUACUAACAUAUUAUACAACUCUUAACAACGGAUAUCUCGGCUCUC